Molecule: ribosomal RNA, 253 nt
Filed under: uncultured bacterium
Lineage: Bacteria
Description: partial 16S ribosomal RNA
Rfam family: Bacterial small subunit ribosomal RNA
Source: RNAcentral
UACGUAGGUCCCGAGCGUUGUCCGGAUUUAUUGGGCGUAAAGGGAACGCAGGCGGUCUUUUAAGUCUGAUGUGAAAGCCUUCGGCUUAACCGGAGUAGUGCAUUGGAAACUGGGAGACUUGAGUGCAGAAGAGGAGAGUGGAACUCCAUGUGUAGCGGUGAAAUGCGUAGAUAUAUGGAAGGACACCAGUGGCGAAAGCGGCUCUCUGGUCUGUAACUGACGCUGAGGUUCGAAAGCGUGGGUAGCAAACAGG